This 104-nucleotide small RNA is filed under the name Chryseobacterium wanjuense. Its description in RNAcentral is "Flavo-1 RNA". It matches the Rfam family "Flavo-1 RNA". The record is from RNAcentral. Lineage: Bacteria; Pseudomonadati; Bacteroidota; Flavobacteriia; Flavobacteriales; Weeksellaceae.
UUCUAGCCCCGAUAGUAACGGCUACCCCGGAGCAAGCGUUGGAUCUACGACACCCAGAGUGACAGCGUUGGCGCGAGGAGUAAUAGUGGAUAGCGGGAAAAAGC